RNAcentral lists this ribosomal RNA (434 nucleotides) under uncultured bacterium. RNAcentral describes it as "bacterial SSU rRNA". It matches the Rfam family "Bacterial small subunit ribosomal RNA", at positions 355 to 787 of the family's 1533-position model. The record is from RNAcentral.
UGAGGAAUAUUGGUCAAUGGGCGUAAGCCUGAACCAACCAAGCCGCGUGAGGGAAGAAGGCCCUAUGGGUCGUAAACCUCUUUUGUCAGGGAACAAAAGCGAGUAUGUAUACUAGUCUGAGUGUACCUGAAGAAAAAGCAUCGGCUAACUCCGUGCCAGCAGCCGCGGUAAUACGGAGGAUGCGAGCGUUAUCCGGAUUUAUUGGGUUUAAAGGGUGCGUAGGCGGCGGUGCAAGUCAGCGGUAAAAGCCCGGGGCUCAACCCCGGCGAGCCGUUGAAACUGCAGUGCUAGAGAAGGCGAGAGGUACGCGGAAUGCGCAGUGUAGCGGUGAAAUGCUUAGAUAUUGCGCAGAACUCCGAUUGCGAAGGCAGCGUACUGGCGCCUGACUGACGCUGAGGCACGAAAGCGUGGGGAUCGAACAGGAUUAGAUACCC